AGAGUUUGAUCAUGGCUCAGAAUCAACGCUGGCGGCGUGCCUAACACAUGCAAGUCGAACGAGAAAGCUGGUAGCAAUACUGGUGAGUAAAGUGGCGACCGGGUGAGUAACACGUGGACAACCUACCUUUGAGUGGGGAAUAACCCUGGGAAACCGGGGCUAAUACCGCAUAACAUUCCAUGACGAUGGUUGUGGAAUUGAAACCCGCAAGGGGCUCGUUGAGGGAUCCGCGGCUGAUUAGCUAGUUGGUGAGGUAACGGCCCACCAAGGCUUUGAUCGGUAGCCGGCCUGAGAGGGCGGACGGCCACACUGGAACUGAAACACGGUUCAGACUCCUACGGGAGGCAGCAGUGGGGAAUUUUGCGCAAUGGGGGAAACCCUGACGCAGCAACGCCGCGUGGAUGAUGAAGACCCUUGGGUUGUAAAAUCCUUUCGGCAGGGACGAAUUAAUUGACGGUACCUGAAGAAGAAGCCCCGGCUAACUCCGUGCCAGCAGCCGCGGUAAUACGGGGGGGGCGAGCGUUGUUCGGAAUUAUUAGGCGUAAAGGGCGCGUAGGCGGUGUGGUAAGUCUGAUGUGAAACCUCCAGGCUCAACUUGGAGCUGGCAUCAGAAACUGCCGUGCUAGAGUGUGGGAGAGGAGAGUGGAAUUCCUGGUGUAGCGGUGAAAUGCGUAGAUAUCAGGAGGAACACCGGUGGCGAAAGCGGCUCUCUGGACCACAACUGACGCUGAGGCGCGAAAGCUAGGGGAGCAAACAGGAUUAGAUACCCUAGUAGUCC
RNAcentral lists this ribosomal RNA (778 nucleotides) under uncultured bacterium. RNAcentral describes it as "bacterial SSU rRNA". It matches the Rfam family "Bacterial small subunit ribosomal RNA", at positions 8 to 796 of the family's 1533-position model. The record is from RNAcentral.